GACGAACGCUGGCGGUGCGCUUAACACCUGCAAGUCGAGCGAAGCGGCGGACGGGUGAGUAACACGUGAGUAACCUGCCUUUGACAUUGGGAUAGCCUCGGGAAACUGGGAUUAAUACCAAAUGGUCAAAGAUGGACUCGCGGAUGAUUAGCUCGUUGGUGAGGUAACGGCCCAACAAGGCGAAGAUCAGUAGCCGGACGGAGAGGGUGAUCUGCCACAUUGGAACUGAGACACGGUCCAAACUCGACGGGAGGCAGCAGUGUGGAAUAUUGCACAAUGGUGGAAACCCUGAUGCAGCGACGCCGCGUGAGCGAAGAAGGCCUUAGUGUCGUAAAGCUCUUUUAUGAGGGAAGCGGUACCUCAAGAAAAAGCCCCGGCUAACUACGUGCCAGCAGCCGCGGUAAUAC
This 407-nucleotide ribosomal RNA is filed under the name uncultured bacterium. RNAcentral describes it as "partial 16S ribosomal RNA". It matches the Rfam family "Bacterial small subunit ribosomal RNA", at positions 28 to 526 of the family's 1533-position model. The record is from RNAcentral.